UUAUUACAUUUUCAUGGGAUAAUCGGCUGAUAACAAUAUAAGUAAGUUAUUACUCGACAUUUUGCGCCAAUAAUGUCCAAUCGAUACACUAAAUUAAUGGAAGAAUUAAUGGCCUGUGCAGGAGGAAAAAUGUGCAAACGUUGCUAUUCGUCGCCACCCUCUUGCAGCCGGUUGUCCGCGUUAAUUCCAGCGCGUGCCAAUCGUGUCUCGACCACCGAUCCCUCGACUAUUUUCACCAUCAGUCCGAUCUCACUAUAAGGAACAACCGUCAGUACGUGAAACGCGUGCCGCGAGGAACGAACCAACCGUAAAGCUUGGAACUUUAGAGAUCGUGUUUUCAAACGAGUCGUUUACAGGGUGAAACUUUCAACGCAUUAAUAACAGUUAAAAAGCAAUACUUUAAUAAUUCAAAGAAAUAAUUCCCUUUCGAUUUUUGUCACUGCAAUUCUGUUACAUGUUUCUUCCUUUACGUUGAAGUAAAUUGAUUCAUGGAAAAAGAGAAAUGUGAAUGUGACGUGACUUGUAGUUCUAUGUGAAAAAGAAUGCAGUUGUGUUUCGAUUAAUUCAAGACGGAUUGUAAUUGAGAAAAAUGCUAUUGAAGAAUUGGUGAUUUGAGGUAAAUGCCAAAGACUUAUAAAUAUAUUGUCGCAAUAUUUGUUAUUUUGAGAAUCGUAAUUUACGUAAUCUUUUUCUGUAGAUUAUUUGUAAAAAGUAGUAUAUUCAUCAACAAUAUAAAAAAAUAUUUU
This is a long non-coding RNA of Bombus pascuorum, 746 nucleotides long. RefSeq lists it as uncharacterized. The transcript has 2 exons. Lineage: Eukaryota; Metazoa; Arthropoda; Insecta; Hymenoptera; Apidae. The record is from RefSeq and is a predicted model, not a curated record.